Long non-coding RNA from Diuraphis noxia (Russian wheat aphid), 187 nucleotides. Lineage: Eukaryota; Metazoa; Arthropoda; Insecta; Hemiptera; Aphididae. The record is from RefSeq and is a predicted model, not a curated record.
AACAAAUGCCUUAUACAAAAAUAAAAUAGUUGUAGACAAAAUGCCUAAAAAGAAAAGAAAAAUAGAAUCUGCUGCUACUAAUGGACCACAAAACAAAGAAAAUACUCAAAGCCAAAAAGUUCAAUUGUUAAAUCAACAUCAAGUAUCUAACUUAGAAGUUAACCUCAACGAAAUAGAUGUUUUUUUA